This 403-nucleotide ribosomal RNA is filed under the name uncultured bacterium. Its description in RNAcentral is "bacterial SSU rRNA". It matches the Rfam family "Bacterial small subunit ribosomal RNA", at positions 355 to 775 of the family's 1533-position model. The record is from RNAcentral.
UAGGGAAUAUUAGAAAUGGACGAAAGUCUGAUCUAGCAACACCGCGUGUGCGAAGAAGGCCUUCGGGUCGUAAAGCACUUUUUGGAAGGAAUAGGAAGGAAUGUACUUCCAGAAUAAGUCUCGGCUAACUACGUGCCAGCAGCCGCGGUAACACGUAGGAGGCGAACGUUAUCCGGAUUUACUGGGCGUAAAGCGCGUGCAGGUGGUACUGUAAGUAGGGCGUGAAAGCUCCUGGCUCAACUGGGAGAGGCCGUUCUAAACUACAGAACUAGAGGAUGGUAGAGGGAGGUGGAAUUCCAGGUGUAGCGGUGGAAUGCGCAGAUAUCAGGAGGAACACCGGUGGCGAAGGCGGCCUCCUGGACCAUUCCUGACACUCAGACGCGAAAGCUAGGGUAGCAAACGG